RNAcentral lists this ribosomal RNA (251 nucleotides) under uncultured bacterium. RNAcentral's name for it is "partial 16S ribosomal RNA". It matches the Rfam family "Bacterial small subunit ribosomal RNA", at positions 524 to 774 of the family's 1533-position model. The record is from RNAcentral.
UACGUAGGGGGCAAGCGUUAUCCGGAUUUACUGGGUGUAAAGGGAGCGUAGGUGGCAGGGCAAGUCAGAUGUGAAAACCCGGGGCUCAACCCCGGGAGUGCAUUUGAAACUGUCCGGCUGGAGUGCAGGAGAGGUAAGCGGAAUUCCUAGUGUAGCGGUGAAAUGCAUAGAUAUUAGGAGGAACACCAGUGGCGAAGGCGGCUUACUGGACUGUAACUGACACUGAGGCUCGAAAGCGUGGGGAGCAAACA